This 427-nucleotide ribosomal RNA is filed under the name uncultured Verrucomicrobiota bacterium. Its description in RNAcentral is "bacterial SSU rRNA". It matches the Rfam family "Bacterial small subunit ribosomal RNA", at positions 958 to 1385 of the family's 1533-position model. The record is from RNAcentral. Lineage: Bacteria; Pseudomonadati; Verrucomicrobiota.
AACGCGAAGAACCUUACCUGGCCUUGACAUGCACUGGACCGGCGCUGAAAGGCGCUUUUCCCGCAAGGGACCGGUGCACAGGUGCUGCAUGGCUGUCGUCAGCUCGUGUCGUGAGAUGUUGCGUUAAGUCGCGCAACGAGCGCAACCCCUGUCCUUAGUUGCCACCAUUUAGUUGGGCACUCUAGGGAGACAAACCCUCUUUGAGGGUGGGAAGGUGGGGAUGACGUCAAGUCAGGAUGGCCCUUACGGCCAGGGCUGCACACGUGCUACAAUGCCCGGUACAGAGGGAAGCAAGACCGCGAGGUGGAGCAAAUCCUCAAAACCGGGCCCAGUUCAGAUUGUAGUCUGCAACUCGACUACAUGAAGUUGGAAUCGCUAGUAAUGGCGUAUCAGCUACGACGCCGUGAAUACGUUCCCGGGCCUUGUA